CUACGGGGGGCUGCAGUGGGGAAUAUUGCACAAUGGGCGAAAGCCUGAUGCAGCAACGCCGCGUGAGUGAUGAAGGUUUUCGGAUCGUAAAACUCUGUUCUAAGGGAAGAUAAUGACGGUACCUUAGGAGAAAGCCCCGGCUAACUACGUGCCAGCAGCCGCGGUAAUACGUAGGGGGCAAGCGUUAUCCGGAAUUACUGGGCGUAAAGGGUGCGUAGGUGGCCUGACAAGUCAGGGGUCAAAGGCAACGGCUCAACCGUUGUAAGCCCUUGAAACUGUCGGGCUUGAGUUCAGGAGAGGAAAGCGGAAUUCCAAGUGUAGCGGUGAAAUGCGUAGAUAUUUGGAGGAACACCAGUGGCGAAGGCGGCUUUCUGGACUGAUACUGACACUGAGGCACGAAAGCGUGGGGAGCAAACAGGAUUAGAUACCCUUGUAGUC
This 438-nucleotide ribosomal RNA is filed under the name uncultured bacterium. Its description in RNAcentral is "partial 16S ribosomal RNA". It matches the Rfam family "Bacterial small subunit ribosomal RNA", at positions 339 to 795 of the family's 1533-position model. The record is from RNAcentral.